GGGAGCGUAGCUCAGUUGGUUAGAGCAUCGCCUCGACAAGGCGAGGGUCCUCAGUUCGAAUCUGAGCGUUCCCACCA
Molecule: transfer RNA, 77 nt
Filed under: Flavobacterium sp.
Lineage: Bacteria; Pseudomonadati; Bacteroidota; Flavobacteriia; Flavobacteriales; Flavobacteriaceae
Also listed under: 2 other names
Description: tRNA-Val
Rfam family: tRNA
About the family: Transfer RNA (tRNA) molecules are approximately 80 nucleotides in length.
Source: RNAcentral